Molecule: small nuclear RNA, 97 nt
Organism: Gorilla gorilla gorilla (western lowland gorilla)
Lineage: Eukaryota; Metazoa; Chordata; Mammalia; Primates; Hominidae
Source: Ensembl
GUGCUGGCUUUGGCAUCACCUAUACUAAAAUUGGAACAAUACAGAGAAGAUGAACAUGGCUCCUGCUCAGGGAUUUUUAAAAAUAAUAAAAAUGGGU